Molecule: long non-coding RNA, 519 nt
Filed under: Nicotiana benthamiana
Lineage: Eukaryota; Viridiplantae; Streptophyta; Magnoliopsida; Solanales; Solanaceae
Description: long non-coding RNA (NBEN_LNC034945)
Source: RNAcentral
AGAUUGGGUCCCUGCUUUGUUGUUCACUGCUUGUUUUGUGAAAAUUUUCUGGGCUGGUCCCAAAAUUGACGACAUAAAAUUUUGUAAUCCACAUCAUGUUGUCUGUUCAUUCAUUGUCACUUAAUGUUGUCAUAAUUAGUGGACUACUAGAAAGCAAAUAAAAGAAUCAGAUUCUACUACAUGAUCAGAAAAUUAAAGAGUUUGGAGACAAGAAUAUAGAAUUCUGAUGAAUAAUUGAGAUUUUAAUAUGCUGUACACUUGUGGAGUAUUUUGUAUCUUAGACUACUACAAAACUUAUCAUAGGUCAAUAAACUAGCAGUGGAGUUCAAUUCAAAUUAUAGGACUACAGAAAGUAAAUAAAAGAAUCAGAUUCGCCUAAAUGGUCAGAAAAUUAAAGAGUUUGGAGACAAGAAUAUAGAAUUCUGAUGAAUAAUUGAGAUUUUAAUAUGCUGUACACUUGUGGAGUAUUUUGUAUCCUAGACUACUACAAAACUUAUCAUAGGUCAAUAAACUAGCACU